ACAAGCCCGAAUCUUCUCAGAAGGCUCUCUGUCAAUUCCCCAUGCCAGGAUGCUCCCAGGUUUCUCUGCAGUGUGUCCUCGCUAGCUGCACGCAGGAACCUGCAGUAAACACCCCAGGACUCGGAGACAUGAGGCGACCACAGUGAGCCGGGAGGAUACUGAACCUUUAGACACUUCCGCUCGCAAUGAGCACAUGUCACUGAGUCCAUGAGUGUUGAGGCCAAUUGCACGACUGGAAGUUCUCUAAAGUAACGUCGACGGAGAACAUUUGUUAAAGGGACCUAUAACUCCCACCUCCCCACCCGGGUGCACCCCUGAUUCGACACCAAGCCCGGGGAGGGCAGGACCCAGCCGUACAGUGAGCUGAUGUACGGUGUCUACCGCGUGCAUGCAUCGGUUCUGAGUGUGGGCGGAGGCCCAGCAGGAUCGCCCGAGGAUGUCCUUUUCCUAUGUUUAAGGCUGACUCUCGUCAUGUACUUCCAACAAAGCCAGAUAUCACAACAGAUCGAAUACAGAAACAGAUCCAAGAAUCCAGCUAUCUUCUGUUAAGCCAGAUAUGAAAGAAAUUGGCAAAAUUUCUCUGUUAAACGA
Molecule: long non-coding RNA, 591 nt
Organism: Equus quagga
Lineage: Eukaryota; Metazoa; Chordata; Mammalia; Perissodactyla; Equidae
Exons: 3
Source: RefSeq, a predicted model, not a curated record